This 2535-nucleotide long non-coding RNA is filed under the name Marmota monax (woodchuck). Lineage: Eukaryota; Metazoa; Chordata; Mammalia; Rodentia; Sciuridae. The record is from RNAcentral.
GGAAGGCUGUGGGAUUGUGUCCCCAAGGGACCUCUCAGACAGAGGUCCUUAGCGUGCUACCAGGGUACCGCGCUGGCAGCCGGGCUUCCUGGGUCUCUGGGUGGCCGCCUGUGGAAGGGGAGGGGCAGUGAGCCACAGCUGGCGUGGCCUGACCGGUGGCUUCUCCCCCCAGUCUCAGUACAGUCUGACGAGAGCACAGCAGUCCUACAAGUCCUUGGUGCAGAUCCACGAAAAGAACGGUGAGGCCGGAGCCGGGCCCGGGGCUCUGGUGCUGGGCAACCCCAGGUUCUCACUCGGCCCGUAGCAAGGUCCCUCUGGGUUUCCGAGCCGUUCACCCACUCACCCACACCUGCCGGCUCUCCAGAGAAGGCCUGGAGGUGGUGUCGUGGGCAGUCUUGGUGCUGCCCUCUUCCUGACCACCCUUUGAAAGACUCUUCACCACCUCGGGUUGGGCUCUUCACUCUCCCUGUCCUUACAACCUCCAGGUAGGCAGCCUCCGCUUCCCUGUACCUCUCUUCUCGCACCUGGCAGCCUCCCUAGGACCUUCUUGCCUGGAGACGCUGCAGAUGUCCACGGUGACUGGGACAGGGAGGGCGCUCUGGGCCUGGACCUCGCUGACCUGGUGUGUUUCUUUGCAGGCUGGUACACACCCCCAAAGGAAGACGGCUAACCCUGGAGCGUCGCCCCUCCUCCUCCCCCAGGCACCACUGGACCAAUACCUUUGAAUGCUGUAUCUGGAUCUCACGCUGCCUCUGUGGUUCCCUCCCUCAUUUUUCCUGGACGUGAUAGCUCUGCCUAUUGCAGGACAAUGAUGGCUAUUCUAAACGCUAAGGAAAAAAAACAAAAAAACAAACAGAACUGUUUCAAGUACUCAAGACUGACUACAGACCAACAACCACCUUGCUGGAACCCUUGCUAGCAGGCAUUCUUAUAAAGAAACUCUCGAGCCUCCUUAUAUUGCUGGAAACUCAGCUGUGCUCCAGACUAGAGCCUCCUUACCUAUGCUAUGGAUUUUUAAUUUAUUUUCUCUUAUUUCAUGUACACUGCUUUUUUUGGUUACAGUGUAUGAUGGAUGUGUAUGAAAAAAAAAUGUAUCUUUGGGAAAACAAUUACAGUUUGUUAAUUUGAAGAUGCUGGUCUUGACUCAUCUUUAUUUUUAUUCCCACAUCCCACCCCACCCCCAUCCCCUGACUGCUUGGGAGGUGGGGGAGGGGUGCCAGGUCCACUGUGCUUUGGUAGCCAUGAGGCUGUGCUCCGCUAACCCAAGAAAUCUGGAGCUAAGCACCACCUGGCCCACCCCUAGGUUUCCCAAAGGCCCCUGCUGACUUACAGUGUAGCAGGCUGGUAUGAUGAACUUGAUUCUUAGGACUGCGUUUCACUUCUAGUUUCAGAGACUUUUCAAAUUUCUAAGAAAUAGAAAAUGUGGAGGCUCAAGAGGCUGCUUCAUAGAAAUCCUUUUAUGAGAACUGAGUGGGGCUGGGGCGCAGGCUCCUGCGUGUGUACGUGGUCUUUUCUAAUCACAGCCAUCCGCUGUCUAGCUACAACUCUGCAGUGUGCUUUGGCUCCUCUCCCUCCCAGAAAGUGGCUUCUGACUGGCCCUGGAUUGUGAUCAGUGGUAAGCUCUGCUCACCUUCCUCCUGUCUCCUGCUUCAUUUGGGGGUGUAGAAGAGAAAUGGCUCUUGAAGUAAGUUUGGCUGACUUGGAGAAUUGUGGACCCCUUCAAGUCAUUCUUGUAAGAUGCUGGUCCUACUAGAAACGGUUAGCUCUGAGGUGGGUUGUUGCAUGACCUGUGUCCUUACCCCAGGCGUGAGGAACUGCUGGGCCAGGAGGAAAGUGGGAGGAGUCUGUGGGGCUGGAGCAGGUGGUGCUGUGUUGUAUGUACUGCUGUUGUAAAAGUUUGGACAUGACUUUGCAUAUGGCGGGUGCUGCCUGUGUCUCCCUGUCAGGAAGCUUGCUUUGGGGCAGAGGCAGCUUUUGGGGGCUGACUGUGCCCACAGAGUGGGUAAAGAUUGAAAACAACAGAGGCCAGAAACAGCUAAGACAGACCCAAGUCUUAGGAAACCCAGAUCUGGGACGGCUGCCUGGGAACCUGUAGGAGGCCCGAGGAGCCCUGUGAUGCUUUAAGACACAGCAAUUUUAACUUGGCCAUUCUCCCCUCCCCCACCCCAUCCCGAGGGAUUCUAAUGUCUUGCUGCUUUAGGUGGAUGGAGAGUUCACCAAUCCCAUUCAAUGCUGCUCCAACUCUGCCCACACCCACCUGAUUAGGGGUGCUAAUACAUGCCGAGGUUGAGAUAAAGAGGGGACCUAAGGGGAAAAUUCAUUCCAUAGAGCUGAAAUCUGGUUUUCAAGGCCUCCGUGGCUUUCUUCUGAAUUUAUUACCAGCCCUGGCUGGAAUGUAGAUUGUGUUUUUAGUAAUGUGUACUGUGAGCUGUCCUCUGUAUAAUGUAUUUUGUAAUGUAUUUUUCUCAUCUACCAAAGGAUGAAACAAAUAAAAUUAUUUAAAUAGUUUGGCUCUAAUAAACUUAUUUAAAGACA